UACGUAGGUGGCAAGCGUUGUCCGGAAUUAUUGGGCGUAAAGAGCUCGUAGGCGGUCUGUCGCGUCGGCUGUGAAAACCCGGGGCUCAACCCCGGGCCUGCAGUCGAUACGGGCAGACUAGAGUGCGGUAGGGGAGACUGGAAUUCCUGGUGUAGCGGUGAAAUGCGCAGAUAUCAGGAGGAACACCGGUGGCGAAGGCGGGUCUCUGGGCCGUAACUGACGCUGAGGAGCGAAAGCGUGGGGAGCGAACAGG
RNAcentral lists this ribosomal RNA (253 nucleotides) under uncultured bacterium. RNAcentral's name for it is "partial 16S ribosomal RNA". It matches the Rfam family "Bacterial small subunit ribosomal RNA", at positions 524 to 776 of the family's 1533-position model. The record is from RNAcentral.